AGCGGCGAACGGGUGAGUAACACGUAGGUGAUCUGCCCAUCAGACGGGGACAACGAUUGGAAACGAUCGCUAAUACCGGAUAGGACGAAAGUUUAAAGGUGCUUCUGGCACCGCUGAUGGAUGAGCCUGCGGCGCAUUAGCUAGUUGGUAGGGUAAAGGCCUACCAAGGCGACGAUGCGUAGCCGACCUGAGAGGGUAACGGCCACACUGGGAUUGAGACACGGCCCAGACUCCUACGGGAGGCAGCAGUAGGGAAUCUUCGGCAAUGGGCGAAAGCCUGACCGAGCAACGCCGCGUGAAUGAUGAAGGCCUUCGGGUUGUAAAAUUCUGUUAUAAGGGAAGAACGACUUUAGUAGGAAAUGGCUAGAGUGUGACGGUACCUUAUGAGAAAGCCACGGCUAACUACGUGCCAGCAGCCGCGGUAAUACGUAGGUGGCGAGCGUUAUCCGGAAUUAUUGGGCGUAAAGAGCGCGCAGGUGGUUGAUUAAGUCUGAUGUGAAAGCCCACGGCUUAACCGUGGAGGGUCAUUGGAAACUGGUCGACUUGAGUGCAGAAGAGGGAAGUGGAAUUCCAUGUGUAGCGGUGAAAUGCGUAGAGAUAUGGAGGAACACCAGUGGCGAAGGCGGCUUCCUGGUCUGUAACUGACACUGAGGCGCGAAAGCGUGGGGAGCAAACAGGAUUAGAUACCCUGGUAGUCCACGCCGUAAACGAUGAGUGCUAAGUGU
This 725-nucleotide ribosomal RNA is filed under the name uncultured bacterium. Its description in RNAcentral is "bacterial SSU rRNA". It matches the Rfam family "Bacterial small subunit ribosomal RNA", at positions 94 to 823 of the family's 1533-position model. The record is from RNAcentral.